UAACCAUGGUGAGGGCAUGCAUUUAACAAGUCCUUGAAUCUCUCCCAACACUGAUAGAAGGUUUCAACAUCUUUUUGAGCAAAAUUCAUGAUCUGUCUCUUUAAGGCA
This is a small nucleolar RNA of Juglans microcarpa x Juglans regia, 108 nucleotides long. The record is from RefSeq and is a predicted model, not a curated record. NCBI's taxonomy places the organism in Eukaryota, Viridiplantae, Streptophyta, Magnoliopsida, Fagales, Juglandaceae.